This 206-nucleotide ribosomal RNA is filed under the name uncultured bacterium. RNAcentral's name for it is "partial 16S ribosomal RNA". It matches the Rfam family "Bacterial small subunit ribosomal RNA", at positions 568 to 773 of the family's 1533-position model. The record is from RNAcentral.
CGCGUAGGCGGUUGACACAGUCAGGUGUGAAAUUCCCGGGCUUAACCUGGGGGCUGCAUUUGAGACGUGUUGACUAGAGUGUGAGAGAGGGUUGUGGAAUUCUCAGUGUAGAGGUGAAAUUCGUAGAUAUUGGGAAGAACACCGGUGGCGAAGGCGGCAACCUGGCUCAUAACUGACGCUGAGGUGCGAAAGCGUGGGGAGCAAAC